UGCACAUUAUAUGUUUCCCUGUAGCAUUGGCAUCCCCUAGCAUUUCAGCUUUGCAUGCUGACAAAUUCUUGGAAUGGCCAGCACGAGAAAUCUCCUAAGAUCCAGUCUAUGUUGCACAGAUACGGAUACGGGGAUACGGAUACGACACGAUACGGAUACGGUGAUACGGCAAUUUCUAAAAUUUCUAGGAUACGAUACGCGGAAUAUACUUAAAUAAAAUAUUAUUUUAAAUAUAUUUAAAUGUAUGUUGAUUAUAUGUAAUGAUAUAUUGAGAACAAUUAGAAUAUCUAGACUAUAUUAAGGAAUAUAUUCUAAUAUGCAUUAACUUGUAUAAUUAUUCUACAUAUGUUUAUAAAAAAAGAUAAUCAAUCAUAUAAAAUAAUAAUUCAAAAAGUAUCAAACCAACUAUCAUUCAACUUGAUCAAAUGAUAACAAUAAAUAUAUAGUCGCACAAACUAGAUAAUUAAUCAUUCAAUAUAUAUGUCUGAUUUGUUAGUUCUAUUAUUAAAAUAGUAAUAAAAAAUAUGCUAACAAUUUAAUAGAGAAGGAAAAAAAAAUCAUAUUUUCUAUAGCCUUUGUUGCUUAAUACUAGGUUGACAAAUUAGAUGAAAGAGAGUAAAUACUGUGUGAAGAUAGAACGAGAGGGAGCGCCUUCUACCAUUCAAGAACAAAAAGAUAGAUGAAGUGACAAAUUGAAUAGAUAUUGGUGUUUUUCUCACUCUUUUCCUUCUUUCCAAUAGGUUUGGACGUGAGAUUUUAAAAAAAUUUUAAGUUUCAAUCAUUUUAGACCAAAAAAGAACCGGGCCGUGUCCCCCCCGUAUCCCCCCGUAUCCCUCACGUAUCCGAGCCGUAUCCGAUAUUUUUUUAUUUUUUAAAAAUGCUAGAUACUUCAUUCCCGUAUCGGACACGUAUCGGUCGCGUAUCGGGCGCGUAUCGGUAUCCGAUACGUAUCCGAUACGGAUACGGCAUGAAAUUUGAAGUAUCCGUGGUUCAUAGGAUCCAGUCUAGUGAACAAGGAAAGUAUGUAAAAUAUCAAUACAAGAUCUAAACUGUCUCCCAUUAAUCACAAAAUUAUAUUCCUAUUUCAUUAUCAUUCCAACAGCAAGUGCCAUUUUAUUACUCCGCCAAACCGCUCUCCAGCAGUUAUCUUGCAUAAUCAUUCACAAUCUCUAUGUAACUUCGCUAAUAGUCUAAAGGUUACGAACUAACAAUCCACAACUAUAUCGAUCAAGCCCAAAAAAAGAAAUAACAACAAAAAAGAAAAGCAUAUCAAAGGAAACUGAAGACAAAGCAUACGCAUGAAACGAUACCCAAUGUUUGCAAUCGACUAAUAUAAAGAAUUAGAAAGCUACCCCAAACAAGUAAGAGACGAGCAAUAUAACAGAAACAAAUUAAAAACCAAUGCAAAAGUAGGC
RNAcentral lists this long non-coding RNA (1415 nucleotides) under Ananas comosus (pineapple). RNAcentral describes it as "long non-coding RNA (ACOM_LNC035625)". Lineage: Eukaryota; Viridiplantae; Streptophyta; Magnoliopsida; Poales; Bromeliaceae. The record is from RNAcentral.